RNAcentral lists this unclassified non-coding RNA (1171 nucleotides) under Caenorhabditis elegans. RNAcentral describes it as "Non-coding transcript of protein-coding gene nhr-101". Lineage: Eukaryota; Metazoa; Nematoda; Chromadorea; Rhabditida; Rhabditidae. The record is from RNAcentral.
GUUCGAGGAGCUAUGCCUGGUAUGUAAUGAUCUAUCAAGUGGAUAUCAUUAUGGAGUUCCAUCUUGUAAUGGAUGCAAAACGUUCUUCCGCCGAACAAUAAUGAAAAAACAGCUCUUCGUCUGUCAACACGAGAAAAAUUGUCCAGUUGACAAAAGUAUCCGAUGUGCGUGCCGUUUUUGUCGAUUCGAAAAAUGUAUUCAAGUUGGAAUGGAUAAAUCUGCACUACAAGCAUCAAGAGAUCGGAUUGGAUACACAAAAAGAACGAGAAAACCUAAAACGAAAGAUGUAUCAUUUAGUAGUUCAAGUGAAAUGUCUCCAGGAAGUUAUUUUGCUGAAUCUCCUGGAUAUGCUCAAAAAGCAUUUGAAACAUAUUGGAGCUAUGUAGUCAGUAGAGAAAAAGCAUCUAAUGAAAUGCGUCUGUCAGAUUAUCUACCAAAGAGAAGUUUGAAAGAAGCCCUGUGCUCAAAAAGUUUAUUAAAUGAUCCGAUAUUUUUAAGCAAGUAUGCUCUUCCAAGCUCCAAACAUACUUAUACAUCAUUGAGGUUUAUUACACAAACUGACUAUCAUUAUUGGCACGAGAGAGACUGGUUUGUGCUGACGGAAUAUGCAAAAACGUUUAAAAUUUUUGAAGCCCUUUCGUAUGCUGACAAGGCUGAAUUAGUACGGCACUCUGCAAUCACUUUACCAGCUUUAAACCAAGUUUACAACUCUCCAGACCAUGGGCUGGAUACUGUUGUAUUUCCAGAUGGAACAUAUUAUGAUAGAACACAUGAACCAACCAGACCUUCUGGAUUGAACAGGAAAAAAUAUCAGGUUCUUGAUUUAGUUUUGAAACCAUUCAGAGAAAUUGAUAUAAAUUUCAAUGAAUUUGCUGCGUUCAAAGCAAUCACGUUUUUGAAUCCAGACGCUGAUGUUUCUCUCCAAGCAAAGUUGGCAAUAAAUGAGGAACGAAUAUCUGUAACUAAACAACUUUAUGACUAUAUGGUGAGAAACGAUGGAAUUGAAAAAGCUAUAAAAAGAUUUAGCCGUCUAAUUCUCAUUGGAACUUCGAUGUCGAAAAUGGCUUGUGAAUCGAAAGAAGCUGUUUGGAUCGCUGAUUUCUUUGAAAAUAUUGGAUAUACUAGUUUUGCAAAAGAACUUUUCUUUGGCGAUUAUGAUUCAGAUGUAUAA